GACGAACGCUGGCGGCGGGCUUAACACAUGCAAGUCGAACGGAAAGGCCCUGCUAUUGUGGGGUUCCCGAUUGGCGAACGGGUGAGUAACACGUGAGUAACCUGCCCUUGACUUUGGUAUAACUUCAGGAAACGGGGGCUAAUAUCGUAUCGCAUCCGCUGCUCCAUUGUGGGGGGUGGAAAUUUUCGGCUGUUGGGGAUGGACUCGCGGCUGACCAGCUUGCUGGUGGGGUAGUGGCUUACCAAGGGUGUGACGGGUAGGCGGCAUGUGAGCGUGACCGGCCACUUUGGGACUGCGAGACGGAGCAGACUGCUACGGGGGGCAGUGGUGGGGAAUAUUGCACAGUGGGAGGAAGUCUGAUGCAGAAACGCCGGGUGCGGGAUGACGGCCUUUGGGUUGUAAACAGCUUUAGCCUGUGACGAAGCGUGAGUGACGGUAAUGAGUAAAGAAGCACCGGCUAACUACGUG
This 468-nucleotide ribosomal RNA is filed under the name uncultured bacterium. RNAcentral's name for it is "partial 16S ribosomal RNA". It matches the Rfam family "Bacterial small subunit ribosomal RNA", at positions 28 to 507 of the family's 1533-position model. The record is from RNAcentral.